CGAUGAAUGUGGUGUGUUGUUGAACAUUUCGUGUUACGCCCGUGUAAUCUAAAAAUGGACUUGAUAAAAAAGUUCUACGACAGUGACGAAGAAAGUAUAAGUUCAGAAAAAGAUGUUGAGUUAGAAGGUGGUGCUGGAAAAUGGUACGAUUGGGAUGAAACUUCCUUCGGCGAUGGAGGCAGUGAUGGUGUGGAAUCUAGCGGAGGAUCAAACUUGAAACGCGUUCAGAGGAAGAAGACGAAAAAACAAAUUCAACAACUCGAAUCCGCGAGCAAACGCCGAAACGCCCACACGAUUAAAUUGAUUGAUUGUCACUGUAGAUAAGGCUGCAGUAACCUUGUAGCUAAGGACGACCGAUUAGCUGUACAUCGGUAGUUUUGGGAGCUUGACGUCGCCGGCCAACGAAGCUACGUUCAAGAACGGGUUGUGCGUAUACCAGUAAACAAACGAAUCCGGCUGUACACCUCUCCAAACGACCCAAACAAAAUGCAUUCCUAUAAUUACCACAUUCGAAGUACUGCCAGGAAUGAGUUUAUUCGAGUGUGUCGAAAGUUUUUCAUGAACACGAUUGGAUACGAUGAUCACUGCGGGAAUAUUGUUUACCGAAUGGCUAACGACGAAAACACCUAUCUUGAACUAGAUGACACGUCUAGACCACCGAAACGAGGAAAAUAUGUGUGCAGCACCCAGAAACGUGACUCCGUCCAAGCAGAAAUUCAAAAAUAUAACCCUACGAUUUCUCAUUAUCGACGUGCUCAUGCACCAAACAGGCUAUACCUUCCGGCGGAUUUUAGUGAGAAAGUUAUGCAAAAAGCAUGAUUUAAAUGUCUCCUAUGCGUUUUAUUGCCGUGUUCUAAAGGACAUGAACAUAUCCCUAGUAAAGCACCAAAAGCAUAUCGGGAAGACAGAGAUGAUAUGAUACCUGGAAAUGUUGUUCUGACAGUCGAUCUCCAAAAGGUUGUGCAAUUGCCCAGAUUGGAUGGCCUUAAAACUGUGGUUUUCGCACAAAGAUUAAUCGCUUUCAACGAGACCUUUCACCGGGUCGUCGAAAGGUUCAGUGGCAUGGAAAGAUUAGUGUUAUGGCUCGAUAACUGCACUUCACAGAACAAAAAUUGGAACCUAUUUCUGCAUUUGAUCGUUCUGAUCAAUUCUGCGACUGUUCAGUUGAAGAAAGUGGUUCUCAAGUACUUUGAGCCCGGGAACACGUUUAUGUCCGCAGACAGCUUCCACGCUGCAGUGGAAGGAGGAAUGCGGAGCACCCAUUACCUACCCUGACUUUAAGGCCGUCGUUGAAAGAGCAAAAUCAAAGGUUGAUGUUCUAGAUAUGCUACCGGACCAUUCUUUUACUAACGUCUUCAGCAUUUCGCAAUACAUGCUAAAUAAAAUUAAGCCGCGCCCGUACAUUGACCAAAUUCGUAAAGUCGUAAUAAAA
This is a long non-coding RNA of Wyeomyia smithii (pitcher-plant mosquito), 1432 nucleotides long. RefSeq lists it as uncharacterized. The record is from RefSeq and is a predicted model, not a curated record. Lineage: Eukaryota; Metazoa; Arthropoda; Insecta; Diptera; Culicidae. The transcript is spliced from 3 exons.